UGAACGCGGCGGCAUGCUUUACACAUGCAAGUCGGACGGCAGCACAGAGAAGCUUGCUUCUUGGGUGGCGAGUGGCGAACGGGUGAGUAACAUAUCGGAACGUACCGAGCAGUGGGGGAUAACUAAUCGAAAGAUUAGCUAAUACCGCAUAUAUUCUGAGGAAGAAAGCAGGGGACCAUUUGGCCUUGCGCUGUUUGAGCGGCCGAUAUCUGAUUAGCUAGUUGGUGGGGUAAAGGCCUACCAAGGCGACGAUCAGUAGCGGGUCUGAGAGGAUGAUCCGCCACACUGGGACUGAGACACGGCCCAGACUCCUACGGGAGGCAGCAGUGGGGAAUUUUGGACAAUGGGCGCAAGCCUGAUCCAGCCAUGCCGCGUGUCUGAAGAAGGCCUUCGGGUUGUAAAGGACUUUUGUCAGGGAAGAAAAGGGCGGGGUUAAUACCCCUGUCUGAUGACGGACCUGAAGA
This 464-nucleotide ribosomal RNA is filed under the name Neisseria mucosa. Its description in RNAcentral is "bacterial SSU rRNA". It matches the Rfam family "Bacterial small subunit ribosomal RNA", at positions 30 to 485 of the family's 1533-position model. The record is from RNAcentral. Lineage: Bacteria; Pseudomonadati; Pseudomonadota; Betaproteobacteria; Neisseriales; Neisseriaceae.